AUGAGCAGCAGCGAAGGGAGGGUCCGCCACCUCCUCUGGACAGAGAGAGAGAGAGAGAGAGAGAGAGAGAGAGAGAGAGAGAGAGAUAGAGAGAGAGCGAAUCCACCAGAGAGGGAGGGCGUCGCCGGCGUUGUGAACCCAUGCGGGCGCAACAGGGUGUGCUCGUGCCUCAGCGGGUUGCGCCGCGGUGGCCGGAGGCGUCGGCACCGCGGGUCAACCGUGUCGGGCAGGAUGGGCACCGCACGCCGUGGUCGUCGGAUCCGUCCGCUGCGUGUCCGGCUCCGGCACCUGGCGGCUUGGCGAGGCAGGCGGGGGAGCAGGGAGGGGAGGGGUGAGGGCAGCGAGGCCCUCACGUGCCGCGAUGGGCGGCGGCGACCUGUUCGCCCUCGACUUUGA
Molecule: ribosomal RNA, 396 nt
Filed under: Triticum aestivum (bread wheat)
Lineage: Eukaryota; Viridiplantae; Streptophyta; Magnoliopsida; Poales; Poaceae
Description: partial small subunit ribosomal RNA
Source: RNAcentral